This 220-nucleotide unclassified non-coding RNA is filed under the name Glomeraceae sp. Its description in RNAcentral is "partial contains 5.8S ribosomal RNA and internal transcribed spacer 2". The stretch from base 1 to 65 matches the Rfam family "5.8S ribosomal RNA", at positions 84 to 154 of the family's 154-position model. The record is from RNAcentral. Lineage: Eukaryota; Fungi; Glomeromycota; Glomeromycetes; Glomerales; Glomeraceae.
GUGAAUCAUCAAAUCUUUGAACGCAAAUUGCACUCUCUUCGGAGAGUAUGCCUGUUUGAGGGUCAGUAUUAAUAAAAAUCGGCGUGUUGCUUCUUUGUGACGCUCCGUCGUUUGGGUCAUCUUAAUAUCCUUUAGUUUUUAAGUGGCUUAAAUUUGAUUUUUUUUGCGCAUUUUAGAUGGACUUAAAUUUUUUUUUUAUUCGUCUGUCUUAAUUCUCUCU